RNAcentral lists this ribosomal RNA (497 nucleotides) under uncultured bacterium. Its description in RNAcentral is "partial 16S ribosomal RNA". It matches the Rfam family "Bacterial small subunit ribosomal RNA", at positions 28 to 507 of the family's 1533-position model. The record is from RNAcentral.
GAUGAACGCUGGCGGCGUGCCUAAUACAUGCAAGUCGAGCGAACAGACGAGGCGCUUGCUCCUCUUACGUUAGCGGCGGACGGGUGAUUAACACGUGGCUAACCUACCUAUCAGACUUGGAUAACUUCGGGAAACCGUAGCUAAUACCGGAUAAUAUCUUGACCCGCAUGGUUCAUUAGUGAAAGACUGUUUUGCUUUCACUUAUAGAUGGAUCCGCGCCGCAUUAGCUAGUUGGUACGGUAACGGCUUACCAAGGCAACGAUGCGUAGCCGACCUGAGAGGGUGAUAGGCGACACGGGAAGUGAGACACGGACAAGACUCCUAAGGGAGGCAGCAGUAGGGAAUCGUACGCAAUGGGCGAAAGCAUGACGGAGCAAGGCCGAGUGAGUGAUGAAGAUCUUCGGAUCGGAAAAAUCUGUUAUGAGGGAAGAACAAAUGUGGAAGUAAAUAUGCACGUAGUGACGGUACCUAAUCAGAAAGCCACGGCUAACUACGUG